This 637-nucleotide ribosomal RNA is filed under the name uncultured bacterium. RNAcentral's name for it is "bacterial SSU rRNA". It matches the Rfam family "Bacterial small subunit ribosomal RNA", at positions 607 to 1244 of the family's 1533-position model. The record is from RNAcentral.
GCUCAACCGGGGAGGGUCAUUGGAAACUGGGGAACUUGAGUGCAGAAGAGGAGAGUGGAAUUCCACGUGUAGCGGUGAAAUGCGUAGAGAUGUGGAGGAACACCAGUGGCGAAGGCGACUCUCUGGUCUGUAACUGACGCUGAGGCGCGAAAGCGUGGGGAGCGAACAGGAUUAGAUACCCUGGUAGUCCACGCCGUAAACGAUGAGUGCUAAGUGUUAGAGGGUUUCCGCCCUUUAGUGCUGCAGCAAACGCAUUAAGCACUCCGCCUGGGGAGUACGGUCGCAAGACUGAAACUCAAAGGAAUUGACGGGGGCCCGCACAAGCGGUGGAGCAUGUGGUUUAAUUCGAAGCAACGCGAAGAACCUUACCAGGUCUUGACAUCCUCUGACAACCCUAGAGAUAGGGCUUCCCCUUCGGGGGCAGAGUGACAGGUGGUGCAUGGUUGUCGUCAGCUCGUGUCGUGAGAUGUUGGGUUAAGUCCCGCAACGAGCGCAACCCUUGAUCUUAGUUGCCAGCAUUCAGUUGGGCACUCUAGGGUGACUGCCGGUGACAAACCGGAGGAAGGUGGGGAUGACGUCAAAUCAUCAUGCCCCUUAUGACCUGGGCUACACACGUGCUACAAUGGACAGAACAAAG